Molecule: long non-coding RNA, 608 nt
Organism: Mirounga angustirostris (Northern elephant seal)
Lineage: Eukaryota; Metazoa; Chordata; Mammalia; Carnivora; Phocidae
Exons: 4
Source: RefSeq, a predicted model, not a curated record
GCCUUCAAAAGCAGCUACUGUGAAUGUGCUAACCUCACGGAUUCUCUGAACUCUCCACAAUCUCAAAGAGCUUGGGUCUCCCAAGUUCAUCCUCGGUUGCACCUACAAGUCCCUAAACAGAGUGGCAAGAGCACAUAGUAGAAGGCUGAGAAGAAAUAAUGAGUUCUUGUGCCACAUGGGAUUUGCCAGUUUCAAAAUUCAACAGAGGACUAAAAUGGCUGUAGCAUUCACUGGGAUCUUUAUACUUGGAUCACGAGAUGAUGGAUCUGGCAUACACCACUCAGAAGCCCCUUUCAGGACCAAGGAUAGCAUUAAAAAUUUACUGUCAAGUGAAGAGACAGCUCAAAAGUAUGGAGCCAAGAAACAAAGGAAUAAAAAGUAUUACAGAACUGUGUAAGGGAAAUAAGUAAUAAAAUAUGUAAUUUUCUAGAAAAAAAUAUCUUUGAAAAUAUUAACAUGUAAUGUUAGGUUAUUCAAUAAAGAGCACCAGGUUGACUGGCUAAUCAAAAAAUAAUCAUUUUUCUCUCCAUCAUACUGUACCUCAAAAUAUAUUUUACAUAGAUUAAGAGUGUUGUAAAAAAAAAUAAUAAUAACACCCAAGAAUAUAG